Long non-coding RNA from Mus pahari (shrew mouse), 1239 nucleotides. RefSeq lists it as uncharacterized. Lineage: Eukaryota; Metazoa; Chordata; Mammalia; Rodentia; Muridae. The record is from RefSeq and is a predicted model, not a curated record. The transcript has 4 exons.
GGCAAUGGCCAUGGAGGAGCUGCGUCGAGGGCUGUCCCGCUGGAAGCGCUACCACAUCAAGGUACACCUAGCCGACGAGGCAUUGCUACUGCCACUGACCGUGCGGCCCCGGGACACACUGAGCGACCUGCGCGCGCAGCUAGUGGGCCAGGGCGUGAGCUCUUGGCGCAGAACCUUCUACUACAACUCUAGGCCGCUGCCCGACCAUCAGACAGUUCGCGAGGCUCACCUGCAGGACGGCUCGGUAUUACUUCUGCUCAGUGACACCAGAUAGGAAAUGGAGGAGAUGGAGCAAUGACUUUAGGGACACAAGAUGCUGGCUGAAGGAGCAAACUGGCCCAGGCACCACACCUCUCUCUUCCUGGGAGUCCAGUCAUACUCCAGGUGCUGGGCUUCCAGAAAGAUGCCAACUCCCCAGCCCUGCUGAUGCCCACUGCCUCUGGUGUUCCUGAUGGUGACUUCCUACACUGUCGUCCAGCCCUCCAUCCCCCAAGCCCCAGCAAGGAACCUUCUGGUUGUUCUGUGACCUUAGGACCCUCCCUCAGGAGCCACUGCUGCCUGGAUUGUCCUCUGUCCAUCCCCGGGAAGCUCAACAGGCACACUUCCUUCUUUAGAGGACCCACAGGACUCCAGCUACGAACAGAACAGAAGGACACUCUGAUCCAGGGGGUCCUGAUCAGAGAACCAAGGCCUGAGGUCCCAAAGCCACAGUGUGGAGAGAGCUUGUACCUACUCUCCAACAGUCAUCAGAAGCCAACAUGAACAGAACCUGUGGCUCACAGAGCAAAGGUGACCUGAGGAGGCUCCAGGUCUGUGAUAGCUGCUGCAGGUCAGGCUGCUGAGUGUGGGACCCCCACAAGCUCACCGUGUUCCUUGUGUCCUGACAUCUCCCUGAAUUCUGGCCACAAGACCAUCAGCUUUUUUUUUUUUUUUUUACCCCACCUUCUUUUUGUUUUUAUAGACUCCUAUUUAUUCUACAAAAGCCUACCUUCAGUGCCCCAUUUAUACACAGCCAUUCCUGAUACUCCAGUGGUAGCCUCCAGUGUCCUCCAGGUGCCUGCUAUGCCAGCGCUAUGCUCCUGUCCCAGGCCUGAGUCAUGAGCCCAGGUUAGGUAGGAGGCUCAUUCCAUCUCUGUGAACUCACUUCAGGAGACCCAAGGUCAUGUGCCUACGCCGGGCUCUAGGUGCAGAGGUGCCAUUUUGAAUGUGUAUCAAAUAAAGACUGAAAACAAAGCAGGA